GUGAGGUAAUGGCUCACCAAGGCGACGACGGGUAGCCGGCCUGAGAGGGCGAUCGGCCACACUGGGACUGAGACACGGCCCAGACUCCUACGGGAGGCAGCAGUGGGGAAUAUUGCACAAUGGGCGAAAGCCUGAUGCAGCGACGCCGCGUGAGGGAUGAAGGCCUUCGGGUUGUAAACCUCUUUCAGCAGGGAAGAAGCGAAAGUGACGGUACCUGCAGAAGAAGCACCGGCUAACUACGUGCCAGCAGCCGCGGUAAUACGUAGGGUGCAAGCGUUGUCCGGAAUUAUUGGGCGUAAAGAGCUUGUAGGCGGUUUGUCGCGUCUGCUGUGAAAUUUCGGGGCUCAACCCCGAACUUGCAGUGGGUACGGGCAGACUAGAGUGUGGUAGGGGAGACUGGAAUUCCUGGUGUAGCGGUGAAAUGCGCAGAUAUCAGGAGGAACACCGAUGGCGAAGGCAGGUCUCUGGGCCACUACUGACGCUGAGAAGCGAAAGCAUGGGGAGCGAACAGGAUUAGAUACCCUGGUAGUCCAUGCCGUAAACGGUGGGAACUAGGUGUGGGCCUCAUUCCACGAGGUCCGUGCCGCAGCUAACGCAUUAAGU
This 603-nucleotide ribosomal RNA is filed under the name uncultured bacterium. RNAcentral describes it as "bacterial SSU rRNA". It matches the Rfam family "Bacterial small subunit ribosomal RNA", at positions 252 to 865 of the family's 1533-position model. The record is from RNAcentral.